This 673-nucleotide long non-coding RNA is filed under the name Rattus norvegicus (Norway rat). RNAcentral describes it as "long non-coding RNA NONRATT031053". The record is from RNAcentral. Lineage: Eukaryota; Metazoa; Chordata; Mammalia; Rodentia; Muridae.
UCCUGUAACUGCAAUUACAGAUGAUUGCGAGCUGCUGUCUUAGCAUUACAGCUGACCGCGAGCUGCUGUCUUAGCAUUUCAGCUGAACAGCAGCUUGGGUCGGAAAGGGUUUUCACUUAUACUUCCAUGUGACGGUUCAUCAUUUAAGAUGGGCAGAAACCUGAGGCAGGAACUGAAGCAGAGACCACAGAGGAGUGCUGCUUACAUACUUUCAGAUUCCAAGAGCCCCAAAGAGUCAGGACAUAAUCACAGCCAAGUCAAAGAGAAACCAAAAUUUAACAUACCUGACACUAGGGUCCCACUUAAAAUCUCCGAUCCUCAGAAGGGUCUGUGCUGCUUCUCCAGUUCCUCAGCUCGUCUUGUAGGGUUAGGCCUGCUUCACUCCACAGCUGCUGCUGACCUUGGUGGUCAUCCCAUGGUAUUGGCACCUCAAGUAACUCGGCCGCACAUUCACCAAUAAUGUCUCCUGGGCUCUCUUCAGGGACUCUGAUCUUACACCAGGCCUCAAAUUCUCUCCAUGACCUCUUCAAUCUUGGGCCUUCUACUGCAACUGAGGCUGAAUCUUCACCAAUGUCCUUUCCUGUCCUCUUACAGUACCAAGCCUCAGCGGCUUUCCAUGACCCUUUACAUGCCUUCAAAAUCAGUCCUACUCACCUGGGAAAAUAUUACACAU